ACCUGCGCCGCCAUCUCACGAUCGCUCAGGCCACCACAAAUUUGAAUCAAACGGUCAGAGAGCGUUGAUUUGCCGUGGUCAAUGUGAGCGAUGAUGGAGAAAUUUCGUAUGUGCUUCAUUUAUAUGAAUAUCUUCACGUAGAAAAUCAGUGGGAAACUUGAGCACGGACACAUUCAGGAAAGUGAGCUUUACCCGGAACCCUGUCGGCCUCAUUAAUGACGACGCAUAUUACACUGUUAACGCCGCGCGUUAAAGAAUGGAACUGUGGGGAAUCGCAACAGAUUUCAGCGGUUAAGCCGAUUGAGAAAGGCCGCAUCAAAUGCGGCCUGGACGGGGAUCACGCUUCGCUUUCCACGCGCAACGCAUCAGGCGGUAACGCAACGCUAAGAAUCACCGGCUGGAAAGCCUCGCGAUCGCCGAAGAGUUUGGAUACACCUUUCGCGACGAUAAAGCCGCCAAUGCCGCCUAACAACGCGCCACAGGCCGCAGCCAGAUCGCUGGCGAACAGCAUCUGGAAGAUGCCCGCCACUAAAAACAGGCCAAACAGCGGCGUCAUGUAAACCAGCAAAGCGGAACCCAACAAGCUGCUUUCGCGGAUGCCUAACUCAAUGCGCUGGCCGGGUUGCAACGGCUCCGCGCUGGCGAUAGUCAUCACGUGGGCAUUUUUCGGCCCCAGCUGAUUAAGCGCGUGGCUGCCGCAGCCUUUACGCGCUGAGCAGCUGUUACAAGACGUUUUCGCUUCCGUGUGCAGUGUGGCAAUGCCUUCUUUCCACGCCACCACGGUGGCCCAUUCUCUCAUCAUUUUGGUGAACCCGAAUCUAUGCUGUCCGCAAUACGU
This 838-nucleotide non-coding RNA is filed under the name Enterobacter sp. Sphag71. Its description in RNAcentral is "antisense RNA of rseC mRNA". It matches the Rfam family "antisense RNA of rseC mRNA". RNAcentral also lists the same sequence under 1 other name. Lineage: Bacteria; Pseudomonadati; Pseudomonadota; Gammaproteobacteria; Enterobacterales; Enterobacteriaceae. The record is from RNAcentral.